AAAUUGAAGAGUUUGAUCAUGGCUCAGAUUGAACGCUGGCGGCAGGCCUAACACAUGCAAGUCGAACGGUAACAGGAAGCAGCUUGCUGCUUUGCUGACGAGUGGCGGACGGGUGAGUAAUGUCUGGGAAACUGCCUGAUGGAGGGGGAUAACUACUGGAAACGGUGGCUAAUACCGCAUAACGUCGCAAGACCAAAGAGGGGGACCUUCGGGCCUCUUGCCAUCAGAUGUGCCCAGAUGGGAUUAGCUAGUUGGUGAGGUAACGGCUCACCAAGGCGACGAUCCCUAGCUGGUCUGAGAGGAUGGCCAGCCACACUGGAACUGAGACACGGUCCAGACUCCUACGGGAGGCAGCAGUGGGGAAUAUUGCACAAUGGGCGCAAGCCUGAUGCAGCCAUGCCGCGUGUAUGAAGAAGGCCUUCGGGUUGUAAAGUACUUUCAGCGGGGAGGAAGGUGUUGUGGUUAAUAACCGCAGCAAUUGACGUUACCCGCAGAAGAAGCACCGGCUAACUCCGUGCCAGCAGCCGC
This 528-nucleotide ribosomal RNA is filed under the name Salmonella enterica. RNAcentral describes it as "bacterial SSU rRNA". It matches the Rfam family "Bacterial small subunit ribosomal RNA", at positions 1 to 518 of the family's 1533-position model. Lineage: Bacteria; Pseudomonadati; Pseudomonadota; Gammaproteobacteria; Enterobacterales; Enterobacteriaceae. The record is from RNAcentral.